AUUGAACGCUGGCGGCAUGCCUUACACAUGCAAGUCGAACGGUAACAGGCCGCAAGGUGCUGACGAGUGGCGAACGGGUGAGUAAUGCAUCGGAACGUGCCCAGUCGUGGGGGAUAACUGCUCGAAAGAGCAGCUAAUACCGCAUACGACCUGAGGGUGAAAGCGGGGGACCGUAAGGCCUCGCGCGAUUGGAGCGGCCGAUGUCAGAUUAGCUAGUUGGUGGGGUAAAGGCCCACCAAGGCAACGAUCUGUAGUUGGUCUGAGAGGACGACCAGCCACACUGGGACUGGGACACGGCCCAGACUCCUACGGGAGGCAGCAGUGGGGAAUUUUGGACAAUGGGCGCAAGCCUGAUCCAGCAAUGCCGCGUGCAGGAAGAAGGCCUUCGGGUUGUAAACUGCUUUUGUACGGAACGAAACGGUCCUGGUUAAUACCUGGGGCUAAUGACGGUACCGUAAGAAUAAGCACCGGCUAACUACGUGCCAGCCGCCGCUGUAA
RNAcentral lists this ribosomal RNA (498 nucleotides) under uncultured bacterium. Its description in RNAcentral is "partial 16S ribosomal RNA". It matches the Rfam family "Bacterial small subunit ribosomal RNA", at positions 29 to 523 of the family's 1533-position model. The record is from RNAcentral.